AAUCGCUGCCCUCCUUGGGCGUUUCCUCCCUGGACUUGGGCCGCGCGCGAGCGCGGCCCCUUUUAUGUGCGAUC
Molecule: small RNA, 74 nt
Filed under: Enterovirga rhinocerotis
Lineage: Bacteria; Pseudomonadati; Pseudomonadota; Alphaproteobacteria; Hyphomicrobiales; Methylobacteriaceae
Description: Makes More Granules Regulator RNA (mmgR)
Rfam family: Makes More Granules Regulator RNA (mmgR)
About the family: SuhB later renamed mmgR (makes more granules regulator) was a putative non-coding RNA found multiple times in the Agrobacterium tumefaciens genome and related alpha-proteobacteria.
Source: Rfam by way of RNAcentral